CUUGGUCAUUUAGAGGAAGUAAAAGUCGUAACAAGGUUUCCGUAGGUGAACCUGCGGAAGGAUCAUUAACCUUUCAAAUCAGGGUGCGGCGCGGCCCCCGAGGAGCGGAAACAAUCCUUGGGAGGUAUGCGGGGGCUUCGAGCCCCCCAUUUACGCACGCACGACUGCCAUCCUUACUUUACGAGCACCUUCUGUUCUCCCUCGGCGGGGCAACCUGCCGUUGGAACCGAAUAAACUCUUUUUGCAUCUAGCAUUACCUGUUCCGAAACAAACAAUCGUUACAACUUUCAACAAUGGAUCUCUUGGCUCUGGCAUCGAUGAAGAACGCAGCGAAAUGCGAUAAGUAGUGUGAAUUGCAGAAUUCAGUGAAUCAUCGAAUCUUUGAACGCACAUUGCGCCCCUCGGUAUUCCGUGGGGCAUGCCUGUUCGAGCGUCAUCUACACCCUCAAGCUCUGCUUGGUGUUGGGCGUCUGUCCCGCCUCCGCGCGUGGACUCGCCCCAAAUUCAUUGGCAGCGGUCCUUGCCUCCUCUCGCGCAGCACAUUGCGCUUCUCGAGGGGCUACGGCUCGCGUCCAACAAGCACAUUUACCGUCUUUGACCUCGGAUCAGGUAGGGAUACCCGCUGAACUUAAGCAUAUCAAUAAGCGGAGGA
This 652-nucleotide ribosomal RNA is filed under the name uncultured fungus. Its description in RNAcentral is "eukaryotic LSU rRNA". The stretch from base 283 to 436 matches the Rfam family "5.8S ribosomal RNA". Lineage: Eukaryota; Fungi. The record is from RNAcentral.